Molecule: ribosomal RNA, 465 nt
Filed under: uncultured ammonia-oxidizing beta proteobacterium
Lineage: Bacteria; Pseudomonadati; Pseudomonadota; Betaproteobacteria
Description: bacterial SSU rRNA
Rfam family: Bacterial small subunit ribosomal RNA
Source: RNAcentral
GGAGAAAAGCAGGGGAUCGUAAGACCUUGCGCUUUUGGAGCGGCCGAUGUCUGAUUAGCUAGUUGGUGGGUAAUGGCCUACCAAAGCUUCGAUCAGUAGCUGGUCUGAGAGGACGGCCAGCCACACUGGGACUGAGACACGGCCCAGACUCCUACGGGAGGCAGCAGUGGGGAAUUUUGGACAAUGGGCGCAAGCCUGAUUCAGCCAUGCCGCGUGAGUGAAGAAGGCCUUCGGGUUGUAAAGCUCUUUCAGCCGGGAAGAAAAGGCUGCGAUUAAUAAUCGCAGUUCAUGACGGUACCGGAAGAAGAAGCACCGGCUAACUACGUGCCAACAGCCGCGGUAAUACGUAGGGUGCGAGCGUUAAUCGGAAUUACUGGGCGUAAAGGGUGCGCAGGCGGUUUUGUAAGUCAGAUGUGAAAUCCCCGGGCUUAACCUGGGAAUUGCGUUUGAAACUACAAGGCUAGA